Molecule: long non-coding RNA, 211 nt
Organism: Arabidopsis thaliana (thale cress)
Lineage: Eukaryota; Viridiplantae; Streptophyta; Magnoliopsida; Brassicales; Brassicaceae
Product: other RNA
Exons: 1
Source: RefSeq
GCGAAACUGGCCUUCUUCCUUGAGAAGAAGAUCGAUCGUCACGUUUCUUAGAUUGAUCGCCAUUCUCUCUUGUGCAUUCGAUAUCCUGUGACUACUUCUACAGUCGAACCCUAAUUUCACAUGAUCUCCACCGCAACACUUUGUAGACGGCGGCUAAUGAUGAGAGGGAGAAAGGCGGACUGUUGAAGUUGACAUCCUUGAUGAGAACAAG